This 27-nucleotide small RNA is filed under the name Bombyx mori (domestic silkworm). RNAcentral describes it as "ovarian small RNA-20581". Lineage: Eukaryota; Metazoa; Arthropoda; Insecta; Lepidoptera; Bombycidae. The record is from RNAcentral.
UACCAGGGUGAAUCCAACCGUCGAUGA